AUACGUAGGUGACAAGCGUUAUCCGGAUUUACUGGGCGUAAAGGGCGUGUAGGCGGUCUUGCAAGUCAGAAGUGAAAUUCCUGAGCUCAACUCGGGCGCUGCUUCUGAAACUGCAGGACUUGAGUGCUGGAGGGGAUAGCGGAAUUCCUAGUGGAGCGGUAAAAUGGGCAGAUAUUAGGAAGAACACCGGUGGCGAAGGCGGUUAUCUGGACAUUAACUGAAGCGGAGGCGCGAAAGCGUGGAGAGCAAACAGGAUUUGAUCCCCUGGUAGUCCACGCCGUGAACGAUGAAUACUAGGUGUAGGGGGUAUCGACUCCCUCUGUUCCUCAGUUAACACAAUAAGUAUUCCGCCUGGGGAGUACGGCCGCCAGGUUGAAACUCAAAUGAAUUGACGGGG
This 397-nucleotide ribosomal RNA is filed under the name uncultured bacterium. RNAcentral describes it as "partial 16S ribosomal RNA". It matches the Rfam family "Bacterial small subunit ribosomal RNA", at positions 523 to 918 of the family's 1533-position model. The record is from RNAcentral.